UCAAGAAUAUUCCUCAAUGGACGAAAGUCUGAAGGAGCGACGCCGCGUGCAGGAAGAAGCCCCUCGGGGUGUAAACUGCUUUUUUUAGGGACGAAUUAAUGACGGUACCUGAAGAAUAAGAGGUUGCUAACUCUGUGCCAGCAGCAGCGGUAAUACAGAGACCUCAAACGUUAUCCGGAUUUAUUGGGCGUAAAGCGUCCGCAGGUUGUUUAUCAAGUUGGUGGUUAAAUCCCGAGGCUUAACUUCGGAAUUGCUAUCAAUACUGAUAGACUAGAGGUUGGAAGAGGCAAGCGGAACUGCCGGUGUAGUCGUAAUAAGCGCUGAUAUCGGCAGGAACACCAAAGGCGAAGGCAGCUUGCUAGUACAAACCUGACACUCAUGGACUAAAGCGUGGGGAGCGAAUAGG
This 406-nucleotide ribosomal RNA is filed under the name uncultured bacterium. RNAcentral describes it as "partial 16S ribosomal RNA". It matches the Rfam family "Bacterial small subunit ribosomal RNA", at positions 355 to 776 of the family's 1533-position model. The record is from RNAcentral.